RNAcentral lists this ribosomal RNA (491 nucleotides) under uncultured bacterium. Its description in RNAcentral is "partial 16S ribosomal RNA". It matches the Rfam family "Bacterial small subunit ribosomal RNA", at positions 28 to 507 of the family's 1533-position model. The record is from RNAcentral.
GAUGAACGCUAGCUACAGGCUUAACACAUGCAAGUCGAGGGGAAACGACAUUGAAGCUUGCUUCGAUGGUCGUCGACCGGCGCACGGGUGAGUAACGCGUAUCCAACCUGCCUCUGACCAAGGGAUAACCCGUCGAAAGUCGGCCUAAUACCUUAUGCAGUCGUCGGAAGUCAUCUGAUGACGACGAAAGAUUUCAUCGGUGAGAGAUGGGGAUGCGUCUGAUUAGCUUGUUGGCGGGGUAACGGCCCACCAAGGCAACGAUCAGUAGGGGUUCUGAGAGGAAGGGCCCCCACAUUGGAACUGAGACACGGUCCAAACUCCUACGGGAGGCAGCAGUGAGGAAUAUUGGUCAAUGGGCGAGAGCCUGAACCAGCCAAGUAGCGUGCAGGAUGACGGCCCUAUGGGUUGUAAACUGCUUUUAUGCGGGGAUAAAGUGAGGGACGUGUCCUUCAUUGCAGGUACCGAAUGAAUAAGGACCGGCUAAUUCCGUG